Molecule: long non-coding RNA, 816 nt
Organism: Mesoplodon densirostris (Blainville's beaked whale)
Lineage: Eukaryota; Metazoa; Chordata; Mammalia; Artiodactyla; Ziphiidae
Exons: 3
Source: RefSeq, a predicted model, not a curated record
CCACAAUGGGCCACCCCUUCCCACCCUGCAGGAGCAGUGUGGGCUCCCAAGAGGAAAGGAAGAGGAGAUGCUAAAGAGGCACAGAUUCUCCUUCGAAACUCAACCGUCCUAUUAAACCACUCCUCCUUCCCAGGGAAGAAUGAGCGGGUGGAGAGCAAUCGGGAGUGUUACGCUGUUGGGCUUCUUUCACCAGGAAGAAAACAGCAGGAGUGGAAAGACGAAGAUUCUCUAGCACAAGUCAAGCGUGGUUUGGUCAGACCAAAGCCCUCCGGGAAAGAUUUGGGUAAAAAACUUGACCUCAGAGAAAAGCCACUGAAGUUUAUUUGUUCCCCCGAAGAAAAGCAAUAGAGAAUUGCCAACUGUGAUGGGCACAUCUCAGUCUUUGCUGGUUUAUCUUGCUCAUCAGCCACGCCAAGGAGGGGCCUCUGUGAAGCUGAACUUCCCACCCACCUCACCCAAGCCACGUGGAGACAUAACCCAAGGCUUUGAAAAUAAAAUGUGGGUCUUCCCUGGUGGCGCAGUGGUUGGGAAUCCACCUGUCAACGCAGGGCACACGGGUUCGAGCCCUGGUCUGGGAAGAUCCCACAUGCCACGGAGCAAUGAAGCCCGUGCGCCACAACUACUGAGCCUGAGCCCUAGAGCCCGCGAGCCACAACUACUGAGCCCGCAUGCCACAACUACUGAAGCCCACGCGCCUAGAGCCCGUGCUCCGCAACGAGAGGUCACUGCAAUGAGAAGCCCGCACACCGCAACGAAGAGUAGCCUCUGCUCGCUGCAACUAGAGAAAAGCCCGUGCACAGCAACGAAGAUGCAAUG